UAGGAAUGCAAUUCUACACUCCAGUUCUAUACAACAGGCACACUGAAAUAACUACCACCUUGUUGCCUGUCUAGAAAAUGCACACUUCUGCUUGAGGUGAAGAUCUGUGCCUGUAGUGUGAUGAGUAGUUACCUGUUACUUUAUUCAGAGCAGCCUUCUUGUAUGAUAAGUGAACUUCUGUCUUUAACAUAAAAUACUCUUCUGACAACCUCUUACACAUUUCAUUAAACUUUUUCAGAGCUAAUAUGACUUUCCCUAAUGAAGUGAAUGACUUCCAAGUACUGAAGGUUUACAUAUGGUUGCUGUUCAACAACUUCAGUGUCUGCAAAGUGCAUUUCCUCCGUCUUGAACCUAACUGAAAGCCCAUGCUGAUGUUAAAGGAAUUGUAAGUUGAGCAGUAUUACAGUGGCCAGCUGGAGGUCCAGUACAACUUGCAGCAGCAGGAAUCUUUUCUUUGACUUCCAUGUCAAUGGGAAUGAACGGGAAUGAACUUUUGGUUCUGCAUAAGGUUGCAAAAUGUAGAUAACAUUUUGGUUUUGAGUUCUCCUUGCAGUCGGUAGAAAGACACAGGCCUCUCUGGAGAGUGAGUAAUUUCAUUCAAAAGCAAG
RNAcentral lists this long non-coding RNA (608 nucleotides) under Numida meleagris (helmeted guineafowl). RNAcentral's name for it is "lncRNA (ENSNMEG00000005537.1)". The record is from RNAcentral. Lineage: Eukaryota; Metazoa; Chordata; Aves; Galliformes; Numididae.